Molecule: ribosomal RNA, 505 nt
Filed under: uncultured bacterium
Lineage: Bacteria
Description: partial 16S ribosomal RNA
Rfam family: Bacterial small subunit ribosomal RNA
Source: RNAcentral
GACGAACGCUGGCGGCGUGCCUAAUACAUGCAAGUAGAACGCACAGUUUAUACCGUAGCUUGCUACACCAUAGACUGUGAGUUGCGAACGGGUGAGUAACGCGUAGGUAACCUGCCUGGUAGCGGGGGAUAACUAUUGGACACGAUAGCUAAUACCGCAUAAUAUUAAUUAUUGCAUGAUAAUUAAUUGAAAGGUGCAAUUGCACCACUACAAGAUGGACCUGCGUUGUAUUAGCUAGUAGGUGAGGUAACGGCUCACCUAGGCGACGAUACAUAGCCGAACUGAGAAGGUGAUCGGCCACACUGGGACUGGGACACGGCCCAGACUCCUACGGGAGGGAGCAGGAGGGAAUCUUCCGCAAUGGACGAAAGUCUGAACGAGCAACGCCGCGUGAGUGAAGGAGGUUUUCGGAUCGUAAAGCUCUGUUGAAAGGGAAGAACGGGUGUGAUAGUGGAAAGUGCACAUUGUGACGGUAUCUUACCAGAAAGGGACGGCUAACUACGUG